AUGAUUCCUGGAUGGCUCCGGUUUGAGAAUGACAUUGAUGUUGGGGAAGUGGUUGUUCUCAUGACGACCAAGGGGGAGGUGAUUGCCAUUGGUAUCGCUGAGAUCCCAACUGCUGUUAUGGCGACUGAUGACCAUGGCGCGGCAGCGAAGAUCAAGAGGGUGGUCAUGGACAGAGGCACAUACCAGGAAAUGGGAACUUGGUCCGGUGGCAGCGUCCGAAAGAUGAUGAACGAGGGCUCCUUGAUAAGCAUGGGAAACCAACUGAGAAGACCCCAGCUGAGUGAAUAUUCAAUCCCGAGCCUAAGGCUCAUCUGCACCCGGUGA
This 324-nucleotide ribosomal RNA is filed under the name Triticum aestivum (bread wheat). RNAcentral describes it as "partial small subunit ribosomal RNA". The record is from RNAcentral. Lineage: Eukaryota; Viridiplantae; Streptophyta; Magnoliopsida; Poales; Poaceae.